GAUGAACGCUGGCGGCGUGCUUAACACAUGCAAGUCGAACGAGAAGUGGAGACGGAAACCUUCGGGCGGAAGACUUUAUUUCGAGUGGCGGACGGGUGAGUAACGCGUGGGUAACCUGCCUCAUACAGGGGGAUAACAGUUGGAAACGACUGUUAAUACCGCAUAAGACCACAGCACCGCAUGGUGCGGGGGUAAAAACUCCGGUGGUAUGAGAUGGACCCGCGUUCGAUUAGCCAGUUGGCGGGGUAACGGCCCACCACAGCGACGAUCGAUAGCCGAUCUGAGAGGAUGACCGGCCACAUUGGGACUGAGACACGGCCCAGACUCCUACGGGAGGCAGCAGUGGGGAAUAUUGCACAAUGGGGGAAACCCUGAUGCAGCGACGCCGCGUGAGUGAAGAAGUAUUUCGGUAUGUAAAGCUCUAUCAGCAGGGAAGAAAAUGACGGUACCUGAGUAAGAAGCCCCGGCUAACUACGUG
This 478-nucleotide ribosomal RNA is filed under the name uncultured bacterium. RNAcentral's name for it is "partial 16S ribosomal RNA". It matches the Rfam family "Bacterial small subunit ribosomal RNA", at positions 28 to 507 of the family's 1533-position model. The record is from RNAcentral.